CUGCUUAAAUUGAAUGACUCCAUUUAAUGCUUUCUCCUCUCCAUUCAUUAUAACCCCAACGACGCCAUUUCUGCUCCCCCCUCCCUCUCUCUCUCUCUCUCUCUCUCUCUCUCUCUCAACUUCCAUAUCCGUCUCAGCUCGUCCGUACAGCGCUGUUCAUUGCACGUGACAUGCACGUGAUCCUCCUCCUCUGGCUUCUUUCGCUUAAAAGCUACAUCCGUCUCUUUUGGUAAUACUACUACAAGAGGAAAGAAGAUGGCGUCGAUNCGUCCCCUCCCCCUCCCUCCUCUCUCUCUCUCUCUCUCUCUCUCUCUCAACUUCCAUAUCCGUCUCAGCUCGUCCGUACAGCGCUGUUCAUUGCACGUGACAUGCACGUGAUCCUCCUCCUCUGGCUUCUUUCGCUUAAAAGCUACAUCCGUCUCUUUUGGU
RNAcentral lists this long non-coding RNA (429 nucleotides) under Theobroma cacao (cacao). RNAcentral's name for it is "long non-coding RNA (TCAC_LNC000651)". Lineage: Eukaryota; Viridiplantae; Streptophyta; Magnoliopsida; Malvales; Malvaceae. The record is from RNAcentral.